GACGAACCGUACGAACGUUAUUCGGAAUCACUGGGCUUAAAGGGUGCGUAGGCUGCGCAGCAAGUUGGGUGUGAAAUCCCUCGGCUUAACCGAGGAACUGCGCCCAAAACUGCUGUGCUCGAGGGAGAUAGAGGUGAGCGGAACUUAGGGUGGAGCGGUGAAAUGCGUUGAUAUCCUAAGGAACACCGGUGGCGAAAGCGGCUCACUGGAUCUCUCCUGACGCUGAGGCACGAAAGCUAGGGUAGCGAACGGG
Molecule: ribosomal RNA, 253 nt
Filed under: uncultured bacterium
Lineage: Bacteria
Description: partial 16S ribosomal RNA
Rfam family: Bacterial small subunit ribosomal RNA
Source: RNAcentral